UCCCUAGUUAUAUUUUAUUAAAUUAAAGUUUUAUUUUAGCUUAUUUAUUUUUUUAAAAAAUAUUUUACAUGUAAUUUGAAGAAAGACAAAUAAUGAAUCUAAAUGAUUAUUUUAUCUCAUAUUCGCAGUAUUUUAUAUUAAAAAUUAAAGUAAUUUAGAAUUAGUACAUUAAAAGUUUUGGUAAAAUUUGUGCCAGCCACCGCGGUUAAACAAAAGAGGCAAAAGAAUAUUAUUGGUUAAAGUUAAUUUUACAAACAAGAUUAUAAAAAUUUUAUUAGCAGGUGAAAUUAAAAUUAAUAAUAAAGUCAGGGAAUAUAAAGAUGAAACUUAAAAGAUUAGGCAAUAAACUAGGAUUAGAUACCCUAUUAUUCUAAUUAUUAAAAUAUAACUCGAGUAGUAACAGUUAAGAUCUUAAAACUCAAAAAUUUUGGCGGUGGCUUAACUAAUCAGAGGAAUUUGUUGUAUAAUCGAUAACCCCCGAUUUAAUAUACUUAAAUUAGGUUAACAGCUUGUAUACCGCCGUCAGCAGGAGAUUUUAUAAAAAUAUUUUCAAGAAAUAGAAAAUUGGAUGUCAGGUCAAGGUGCAGUUAAUAUUUAAGAACUAAUGAAUUACAAUAAUAUAAGUUAAACGGAAUUUAUAAUGAAAAAUAAAAGAAGGUGGAUUUGGGUGUAAUAUUAAAAAGAAUGUUAAUAUGAUAAAGGCUCUAAGCCGUGCACACAUCGCCCGUCGCUCUCAUUCCAAAUGAGAUAAGUCGUAACAUAGUAGGUGUACUGGAAAGUGUACCUAGAUUGA
This 793-nucleotide non-coding RNA is filed under the name Vietnamella dabieshanensis. Lineage: Eukaryota; Metazoa; Arthropoda; Insecta; Ephemeroptera; Ephemerellidae. The record is from RNAcentral.